CAACCCUCAAGCUCAGCUUGGUAUUGGGCCUCGUCGGUAACACGACGGGCCUUAAAAUCAGUGGCGGCGCCGUUGGGUCCUGAACGUAGUAAUAUAUUUCGUUACGGGUGCCCCGCGUGCUUCUGCCAUUAAACCCCCAAUUUUCUAU
RNAcentral lists this unclassified non-coding RNA (148 nucleotides) under Rutstroemia bolaris. RNAcentral describes it as "partial internal transcribed spacer 2". The record is from RNAcentral. Lineage: Eukaryota; Fungi; Ascomycota; Leotiomycetes; Helotiales; Rutstroemiaceae.